Long non-coding RNA from Camelina sativa (false flax), 669 nucleotides. RefSeq lists it as uncharacterized. The record is from RefSeq and is a predicted model, not a curated record. NCBI's taxonomy places the organism in Eukaryota, Viridiplantae, Streptophyta, Magnoliopsida, Brassicales, Brassicaceae.
CGUUUAAUUUAGAUUUGACUUAUGAAGAAAAAAACCAAUACAAAUUUGUCAAACUUAAGUGUUGGUUUGGUGGUCAAAACAGUUUUGUAGGGAGAGAGAGAGCCGACUAAACCUAAAACCAGCCGCCGCCCUUCUAGAUCUGAUUUUCGUUUGCCCUCUCCGAUGACCGGCGCUCCUCGCCGCAGCCGUGAGAGGGUCCCCAGUAUUUUCCUUUUCGUUUAGUUGAUGUCUCCUUCGAUUCGUCUUAGCUCUGGUGGUUAAGUAGAGAAGAGUUUCGUCAGGCUGUGAUGGUGGUUCUUCUCGGCGAGCUCUAGAGGCAUGGCAGGUGGUCAGCUUCUCCAGAGAGAGUUGUCUGGUUGGGCUUCCGGAUCUGUAGAUCUUCUGGUUGCUCUGUCUUAGAAAGGGAUUUGCGAAUCUGUGACCUUUUGUCUCGCUCCAGCUCUUUGGUCCGAUAUGAUUGAUAUCUGGUCCUAUGGGUUUUGCUUCUACCUAGGUGCAAAAAAAGUCGCCUUGUAUACGACGUCGCCGUAUCCGGAAGAAAGUGUGAAGAACUUAGAGUGGUUCUAUCUUUGCGGAUUAUGAAGAUUAGCGUAGGAGUUCUGUUACUUUUAGGUAGUUUCUUAGAGGAGGAAUGGAUUUUCGAAGGUUGGCCGAGGGCAUCUUCGAUUU